This 433-nucleotide ribosomal RNA is filed under the name uncultured bacterium. RNAcentral describes it as "partial 16S ribosomal RNA". It matches the Rfam family "Bacterial small subunit ribosomal RNA", at positions 29 to 507 of the family's 1533-position model. The record is from RNAcentral.
AACGAACGCUGGCGGCAUGCCUAACACAUGCAAGUCGAACGAGACCUUCGGGUCUAGUGGCGCACGGGUGCGUAACGCGUGGGAACCUGCCCUUAGGUUCGGAAUAACUCCCCGAAAGGGGUGCUAAUACCGGAUAAUGUCUUCGGCCCAAAGAUUUAUCGCCUUUGGAUGGGCCCGCGUUGGAUUAGCUAGUUGGUAAGGUAAAAGCCUACCAAGGCGACGAUCCAUAGCUGGUCUGAGAGGAUGAUCAGCCACACUGGGACUGAGACACGGCCCAGACUCCCACGGGAGGCAGCAGUGGGGAAUAUUGGACAAUGGGCGAAAGCCUGAUCCAGCAAUGCCGCGUGAGUGAUGAAGGCCUUAGGGUUGUAAAGCUCUUUUAACCGGGAUGAUAAUGACAGUACCGGGAGAAUAAGCUCCGGCUAACUCCGUG